AAUACUUAGGAAUCUGCCCAUUAAUGGGGGACAACAGUUGGAAACGACUGCUAAUACCGCAUACGCCCUACGGGGGAAAGCAGGGGAUCUUCGGACCUUGCGUUAAUGGAUGAGCCUAAGUCGGAUUAGCUAGUUGGUGGGGUAAAGGCCUACCAAGGCGACGAUCUGUAGCGGGUCUGAGAGGAUGAUCCGCCACACUGGGACUGAGACACGGCCCAGACUCCUACGGGAGGCAGCAGUGGGGAAUAUUGGACAAUGGGGGGAACCCUGAUCCAGCCAUGCCGCGUGUGUGAAGAAGGCCUUUUGGUUGUAAAGCACUUUAAGCGAGGAGGAGGCUACUAGUAUUAAUACUACUGGAUAGUGGACGUUACUCGCAGAAUAAGCACCGGCUAACUCUGUGCCUGCAGCCGCGGUAAUACAGAGGGUGCGAGCGUUAAUCGGAUUUACUGGGCGUAAAGCGUGCGUAGGUGGCCAAUUAAGUCAAAUGUGAAAUCCCCGAGCUUAACUUGGGAAUUGCAUUCGAUACUGGUUGGCUAGAGUAUGGGAGAGGAUGGUAGAAUUCCAGGUGUAGCGGUGAAAUGCGUAGAGAUCUGGGGG
This 597-nucleotide ribosomal RNA is filed under the name uncultured bacterium. RNAcentral describes it as "bacterial SSU rRNA". It matches the Rfam family "Bacterial small subunit ribosomal RNA", at positions 112 to 704 of the family's 1533-position model. The record is from RNAcentral.